AUAUUUGUCUUGCAGGGUAGAUUCAAAUAUUAAGAAGGUGGUUUUUCUCUAGGGUGAGACUAAUUCAUUGCAAUCAUGAUGUGCUGUCUGCUGAAGUUCCCUCAAAUUCAAGAAAUCCAACUAUAUAAUUUGUGAUGGGUAACUGCUUUCAUGCUUUCCUCAU
Rattus norvegicus (Norway rat) is the source of this 163-nucleotide small nuclear RNA. Ensembl annotates it as U1 spliceosomal RNA. NCBI's taxonomy places the organism in Eukaryota, Metazoa, Chordata, Mammalia, Rodentia, Muridae. The record is from Ensembl.